Long non-coding RNA from Populus euphratica (Euphrates poplar), 544 nucleotides. RefSeq lists it as uncharacterized. The record is from RefSeq and is a predicted model, not a curated record. The transcript is spliced from 2 exons. NCBI's taxonomy places the organism in Eukaryota, Viridiplantae, Streptophyta, Magnoliopsida, Malpighiales, Salicaceae.
ACUGGACUUGCUCCCCAAGUUAAAUUGUCUUUCUAUCUCUUACUGUCGAAAUCUCAAAUCACUAUGUGCACAUGAAAAACCUCUCAAUGAUCUCACCUCUCUCCGUUCUCUGGAAAUCCGGUGUUGCUUUAAAUUAGUUUCAUUUCCCAAAGGAGGGUUACCUGCUCCAGUCUUGACGCGACUUGACCUAAUAGAAUGCUGGAAAUUGAAGCAGUUGCCUGAGAGUAUGCAUUCCCUCCUCCCAUCCCUUACCCAUUUGGAAAUAAAUUGUUGUUUUGAAGUUGAGUUGUGUCCAGAAGGGGGUUUCCCCUCCACAUUACAAUCACUUGUGAUUCUUAAUUGCAACAAACUCAUUGCAGGCCGCAUGCAAUGGGGCUUGCAAACGCUCCCUUCUCUUUCACACUUUACAAUUGGUUUGGACGAAAAUGUUGAAUCCUUCCCUGAAGAGAUGCUGCUGCCCUCGAGUCUUACAUCUCUUACCAUCAGCUCCCUAGAACACCUGAAAUCUCUUGACUACAAGGGGCUUCAACACCUCACCUCUCUU